Molecule: ribosomal RNA, 2291 nt
Filed under: Halteria grandinella
Lineage: Eukaryota; Ciliophora; Spirotrichea; Sporadotrichida; Halteriidae
Description: large subunit ribosomal RNA
Rfam family: Bacterial large subunit ribosomal RNA
Source: RNAcentral
AUAUUUAGUGUUUUUAAGUAAAUCGUAAAAUGAAAUUAUACGAUUGAAGAUAAAAGAAUCGACUUUUAAGGUUAAAUCGUUUAAUAUUGAUAGAGAAGAGUAGUGUGAACGAAAGGUUAAAAGCUAUUAUAAAAGAAAAGUGAAAAGACCCUGAAACUUAAUGUUAAAUCUGUUAACGCAUAAGCUAUAACGUACCUUUUGCAUAAUGGGCUAGCGAGUUAAUAAAAAUAGCAAGCUUAAUUAAAUAAAUAGGCGCAGUGAAAACAUUUAAAGUUAUUUUUAUUAGACCCGAAGCUGAUCGAUCUAAUUAUGAACAAGUCGAAAGGAAACUUAGGACUGAACCCGUGAAUGUUGCAAAAUUCUGGGAUGAUUUGUAAUUAGGGGUGAAAGGCUAAUCAAGAUCAGUGAUAGCUGGUUCUCUGCGAAAAUUAUUUAAGUAAUAGUGAUGAGAAUAAAAAUUUAAGGUAAAGUAAUCUUAGAAUAAAACAUUUUUAAAAGAAGUAACUUUUUUAGAAGCUAUAAAUGUAAAUUUUUAAAUUCAUCAACACAGACGUAAUCGCGCAAAGGUGAUAUGUCGAGAGGGAAACAGCCCAGAUUGAAAAUUAAGGUAUUUAAUAAUAGUUAAGUAAAAAGAAAAAAAAUUAAUAUACUAUUUAGAAGAUAGGCUUGGAAGCAGCCACUCAUUAAAGAAAGCGUAAAAGCUCACUAUUUAAGUAAAGUAUUAUGAUUAAAAAUACAAAUUAAUUUUUUUUCGAUAAUGUAGAGAUAUUAAAACUAUUAACCGAAAUUUCAAAAGUAUAACUUGGUAGCAGAGUGAUUUGUAUUUCAAUGAAGAAAAAUUGUAAAAUUUUUUUGAGAAAUCAAUUUUAAUUAUGCUAGCAUUAGUAACGAAAAAUAAUAUUAAAUUUAUUAUUACCGAAAAUUCUAAAGUUUCACCACAAGGGAAAUCCUUGGUGUAAAAACGUCCUCUUAAAAAAAGAUGAAAAUCGUAUGUUUGAAGAGAUUACUAAUAUUACUUUUAAAUUUAUAUAUUUUUAAUAAAAGUUAUUUUUUAAAUAUAAAAAUUUAGAACUAGAAAUAAAUUAGUUUUUAAACGUAUAAAAUCCGACACAGGUGAAUGAGUAGAAAAUACUAAGGUAACGAAAGAAUGUGAUUGAAGGAACUCGGCAAAAUAACCCCGUAACUUUGGGAGAAGGGGGACUAUAAUUAGUAACAUAAAAGAGGAGGUAGCGACUGUUUACUAAAAACACAGGACUCUGCUAAAUUUUAUAAUGAUGUAUAGAGUCUGACGCCUGCCCAGUGCUGCAAGAUAAAAAACUAUAAGUAUAGCUUAUUAGUUUAAGUCCCAGUAAACGGCGGCUGUAACCCUGACGGUCCGAAGGUAGCGAAAUUCCUUGGCGGGUAAGUUCCGUCCUGCAUGAAUGGCGUAACGACUGCCUCACUGUCUCCAGUCAUAAUUCGGUGAAAUUGAAUUUUAGGUGAAAAUGCCUAAAAAGAACAGCGGGACGGAAAGACCCUAUGCACCUUUACUAGAACCUUGUAUUAUUUUAAACUUUUAAUAUUAUAUGGGAGAAUUUUCUUUUACCAUAUAUAUUAAAAUUUAUUUUUUAAAAAAAUUUAAACAUUUUUUUUUAUAUUGCAAGGAUGCUAGUUUCACUGGGGCGGUGGCCUCCUAAAAAGUAACGGGGGUGUGCAAAGGUUUAAUUAAACAUAAUUUAUUAUGUGAUCAUUGUAAUGAAUCAAAUUAAACUUGAUUUUAAAACUUACAAGUUUUAAAAGGAUAAAAAUUUGUCUGUCAUAGUGACCCGAUAUAUUUUAUCGAUAAAGAUAUCGAUUAACGGAUAAAAGGUACGCUAGGGAUAACAGGCUAAUGACUCCCAAGAGUUCCCAUCGACGGAGUUGAUUGGCACCUCGAUGUCGGCUCAUCAUAUCCUGGUUGAGAAUAAUCUUCCAAGGGUCGGUCUGUUCUACCGUUAAAAUGGUACGUGAGCUGGGUUUAGAACGUCGUGAGACAGUUCGGUCCCUAUCUGCUGUUAAAUACGAAAAAACUAAGAAUCUUGCUCUAGUACGAGAGGACCGAGAUAGAUUAAUCAAUGAUUCGACGAUUGUUUAAAUUAAGCAGGUCGUUAAGUUAAAUUAAGAUCGAAUAAUUACUGAAUAUUAUUUAAGUAAGAAGUUUAUCUUUUGUUUUUUCUUAAAAAUAAAUUUAAGAUUAAAAAUUUAAAUAUAAUUUUAAUGGACAAAACUUAUAUUUUGAAGUUAAAAUUAAUAUAUUAUUAAACUCUUAUAUU